Molecule: non-coding RNA, 96 nt
Organism: Acanthosepion pharaonis
Lineage: Eukaryota; Metazoa; Mollusca; Cephalopoda; Sepiida; Sepiidae
Source: the annotation of a GenBank genome assembly
GAAAAACAAGUUUCCAAAUGAUCACCCAAGUUAAGCAACAUUGAGUCUGAUCAGUACCAAGAUGGGUGACUGCUUGGGAAUAUCAGGUGCUGCAAU